UUCUGGUGGGUUCUGGUUCUCGAAGUGAUGCCAGUGUGGAGGCUUUAAAUGAAACCUGCUGCUGUGAUAAUGUGAAGCCCGGUCAGUCAGGCCGUACAACAGCGGUGUUCACAGCUCUACAGCCCCCCUCACUCACUCACACGGCCUCUGGAUGGAGGCUGCUGGACCCGCCGGCCCCCGAACUACAGCAGCUACACUGACCCGGACUGGACUUAUGAUACAGCGAGACCACAGACACGAGGACAGGGCACCUGUCUGCAGUGUGUGUCGAACACUUCAGCCUUCAUGUGGUGUUGUGAUGUGGGUCGACAGCAGCGGAGUUUCAUCCUGAGGUGAUGAUGAUGAAGCUGGAUCAGAUUAGGACGAAGAAAAGCGGAGAUCUGGUGUUUGUUUGACUUUGCAAUCCGGACCAGUUGUCAUGGUGAUUAGCAGCACAGAGAGGAGGAGCUGUCUGGAGGAGAAAUACAACAGGAGAAGGAGGAGAUG
Molecule: long non-coding RNA, 486 nt
Organism: Seriola dumerili (greater amberjack)
Lineage: Eukaryota; Metazoa; Chordata; Actinopteri; Carangiformes; Carangidae
Exons: 3
Source: RefSeq, a predicted model, not a curated record